CAGAUACUUCCUCCAUUUCAAAAUUCUUAUCUUAAAUUUGUUUAGAUAUGGAUAUAUCUAGUCACAUUUUAGUAUUUUGAUACAUUCAUUUCUAUAUAAACCUAAGACUAAAUUUUUGGGACGAAGGGAGUAGAUC
Molecule: non-coding RNA, 136 nt
Organism: Hordeum vulgare subsp. vulgare (domesticated barley)
Lineage: Eukaryota; Viridiplantae; Streptophyta; Magnoliopsida; Poales; Poaceae
Source: Rfam